Molecule: non-coding RNA, 45 nt
Filed under: Schistosoma margrebowiei
Lineage: Eukaryota; Metazoa; Platyhelminthes; Trematoda; Strigeidida; Schistosomatidae
Source: RNAcentral
AUCCAGCUGAAGAGUCCCAUAUAGGACAAAACGUGCGUCCUGAAU